Vicugna pacos (alpaca) is the source of this 107-nucleotide small nuclear RNA. The record is from Ensembl. Lineage: Eukaryota; Metazoa; Chordata; Mammalia; Artiodactyla; Camelidae.
GUGCUCGCUUUGGCAGCACAUAUACUAAAAUCGAAACAGUACAGAGAAGGUUAGCAUGGCCCCUGCACAAGGAUGACACGCAAAUUUGUGAAGCAUUCCAUAUUAAA